Molecule: ribosomal RNA, 1477 nt
Filed under: uncultured Bordetella sp.
Lineage: Bacteria; Pseudomonadati; Pseudomonadota; Betaproteobacteria; Burkholderiales; Alcaligenaceae
Description: partial 16S-23S ribosomal RNA intergenic spacer
Rfam family: Bacterial small subunit ribosomal RNA
Source: RNAcentral
GGUUCGAUCAUGGCUCAGAUUGAACGCUGGCGGGAUCUUUACACAUGCAAGUCGAACGGCAGCGCGGACUUCGGUCUGGUGGCGAGUGGCGAACGGGUGAGUAAUGUAUCGGAACGUGCCCACAGUAGCGGGGGAUAACUACGCGAAAGCGUAGCUAAUGCCGCAUACGCCCUUAAGGAAAGCGGGGACAGCUAGGGCCUCACUAUUAGAAGCGGCCGAUAUCGGAUAGCUAGUUGGUGGGGUAACGGCUCACCAAGGCGACGAUCCGUAGCGCUGGUUUGAGGAGGACGACCAGCCACACUGGGACUGAGACACAGCCCAGACUCCUACGGGAGGCAGCAGUGAAAUUUUGGACAAUGGGAAACCCACAGUCCAGCCAUCCGCGUGUGCGAUGAAGGCCUUCGGAUGUAAACGCACAGCGGGAAAGAAACGGCACGGGAUAAUACCCCGACCUGCAACUGACGGCUCACCUGCAGAAUAAGCACCGGCUAACUACGUGCCAGCGACCGCGGUAAUACGUAGGGUGCAAGCGUUAAUCGGAAUUACUGGGCGUAAAGCGUGCGCAGGCGGUUCGGAAGAAAGAUGUGAAAUCCCAGAGCUUAACUUUGGAACUGCAUUUUAACUACCGAGCUAGAAGGUAGCUAUAAGAGGGAGGUGAAUUCCGCGUGUAGCAGUGAAAUGCGUAGAUAUGCGGAGGAACACCGAUGGCGAAGGCAGCCUCCUGGGAUAACGCGGCGCUCAUGCACGAAAGCGUGAGGCAAACGGGAUUAGAUACCCUGGUGAUCCACCUAAACGAUGUCAACUAGCUGUUGGGCCUUCGGGCCUUGGUAGCGCAGCUAACGCGUGAAGUUGACCGCCUGGGGAUACGGUCGCAAGAUUAAAACUCAAGGAAUUGACGGGGACCCGCCAGUGGAUGAUGUGGAUUAAUUCGAUGCAACGCGAAAAACCUUACCUACCCUUGACAUGUCUGGAAUCCCGAAGAGAUUUGGGAGUGCUCGCAAGAGAACCGGAACACAGGUGCUGCAUGGCUGUCGUCAGCUCGUGUCGGCGAGAUGUUGGGUUAAGUCCCGCAACGAGCGCAACCCUUGUCAUUGGUUAUACGAAAGGGCACUUUCAGCGGACUGCCGGUGACAAACCGGAGGAAGGUGGGGAUGACGUCAAGUCCUCAUGGCCCAUAUGGGUAGGGCUUCACACGUCAUACAAUGGUCGGGACAGAGGGUCGCCAACCCGCGAGGGGGAGCCAAUCCCAGAAACCCACGAUCGUAGUCCGGAUCGCAGUCUGCAACUCGACUGCGUGAAGUCCGGAAUCGCUAGUAAUCGCGGAUCGGCAUGUCGCGGUGAAUACGUUCCCGGGUCUUGUACACACCGCCCACGUCACACCAUGGGAGUGGGUUUUACCGAAAUGUUGGCCUAACCGUAAGGAGAGGCGAUUACCACGGUAGGAUUCAUGACUGGGGUGAAGUCGUAACAAAGGUAG